CAGCAGCCGCGGUAAUACGGAGGGUGCAAGCGUUAUCCGGAUUCACUGGGUUUAAAGGGUGCGUAGGCGGGUAGGUAAGUCAGUGGUGAAAUCUUCGAGCUUAACUCGGAAACUGCCUUUGAUACUAUCUAUCUUGAAUAUUGUGGAGGUAAGCGGAAUAUGUCAUGUAGCGGUGAAAUGCUUAGAUAUGACAUAGAACACCUAUUGCGAAGGCAGCUUACUACGCAUAUAUUGACGCUGAGGCACGAAAGCGUGGGGAUCAAACAGGAUUAGAUACCCUGGUAGUCCACGCCCUAAACGA
RNAcentral lists this ribosomal RNA (301 nucleotides) under uncultured bacterium. RNAcentral's name for it is "bacterial SSU rRNA". It matches the Rfam family "Bacterial small subunit ribosomal RNA", at positions 509 to 809 of the family's 1533-position model. The record is from RNAcentral.